GUUCCCCCAGCCACCAGCAGGUGGGAGCAGCCGAUAGCCUCGCGCUGCCCAUCCCAACCUGUCCCAGCUCCAUUCCUGCCCCUCCCGCGGGCUGUGAGGGCUCCGGGAGCAAGGGAGGAGGAGAAGGAGGAAAGGAGGAAGAGGCGGAGCAGCAGCAGGAAGCAGCAGGAGGAGAGGGGAGGAUGAAGCGUGGGGCUCCGGUGCUGCCUGGACUCGCAGCACCCUGGGAGCAUCUACCCCCAUCCCCCAGGUGCAGUCCCCUGCACGCUACACCGAGCUCAAUGAGACGAAGGAGGCACUGUUUCCUUUUCACAACAAUAAUCUUGGACACUGUCCACCUCUUGGCCUGGCUGGACUUUUCCUGAGCUUUUGGGUGGUCUCCCACAGAAGACCCCUCUCAUUCAUUUACAACCACCAUGACAAGCUGAGAUGACAGAAGCCUCUCCACCAGAGAAGACCCCGAGAAAUCCCCAUGUGAGAAAACGCCUCCCUCACACUUUCCAAGGACUGGAGCCCCCAGCCCAGGGGAGGUGCACAGGGGGAGGCAAGCUGACCAGAGCAAAUUGGAUGACUGCAGGUGCGGGCACUGGACCACGAAAACAAUGGCCUUCGUUCAUUGCAAGGUGAACUGUGUGUACCCCUUUUCCAAAUACCAUUCUUUCUAUUCAAUAGAUUCGGUUUCAAAAUAAUCCCCUUCCCCCUCAUCAAGAACAGUAUAAUUAGGGUCCCGGAGGGACUGCAUCUCUGAGAUCUCCCCAGCGUAACAAGCGGAUCCUCGACUGGACUGGACCUCAGGACUUUGUCUCUAUGUUUGGUAGCUAUAUUCCCCUUUUUCUUUCUCUCUCUCUUUCUCUAUCUUUCUUUCCCUUAAUCCUUGUAUAGCAUUUUGCUGUGGUUAUUCAAUAAAGGUGCAUUUGUUUUGAUUAUUGCUGCAAAA
This is a long non-coding RNA of Haemorhous mexicanus (house finch), 937 nucleotides long. RefSeq lists it as uncharacterized. The record is from RefSeq and is a predicted model, not a curated record. NCBI's taxonomy places the organism in Eukaryota, Metazoa, Chordata, Aves, Passeriformes, Fringillidae. The transcript is spliced from 2 exons.